AUUAUGAAUGUCAAAUUUGGGACACAGCUGUGCAGUUUUUAUUAUUGAGCUCUGACAUCUGAUUGCUAUGCUAUGCUAUGCUUCUGUUGCUAUACUCCAUGCCUUUGGUGCCCUCUCACUCUAUGAUAAGCCAAAGUUAAGCUACGUAAACAGUUUGAUUGCAUUAUUUGUCACACAACAACACAAUGAUUUAAAUUGAUAAUAAAUACUUUAUUUAUCAACAA
Long non-coding RNA from Daphnia magna, 224 nucleotides. RefSeq lists it as uncharacterized. The transcript has 2 exons. The record is from RefSeq and is a predicted model, not a curated record. NCBI's taxonomy places the organism in Eukaryota, Metazoa, Arthropoda, Branchiopoda, Diplostraca, Daphniidae.